RNAcentral lists this ribosomal RNA (378 nucleotides) under uncultured bacterium. RNAcentral's name for it is "bacterial SSU rRNA". It matches the Rfam family "Bacterial small subunit ribosomal RNA", at positions 29 to 410 of the family's 1533-position model. The record is from RNAcentral.
AUUGAACGCUGGCGGCAUGCCUUACACAUGCAAGUCGAACGGCAGCACGGGGGCAACCCUGUGGCGAGUGGCGAACGGGUGAGUAACACAUCGGAACGUGCCCAGUAGUGGGGGAUAGCUCGGCGAAAGCCGGAUUAAUACCGCAUACGACCUACGGGUGAAAGCGGGGGAUCGCAAGACCUCGCGCUAUCGGAGCGGCCGAUGUCAGAUUAGGUUGUUGGUGGGGGAAAGGCCUACCAAGCCGACGAUCUGUAGCUGGUCUGAGAGGACGACCAGCCACACUGGGACUGAGACACGGCCCAGACUCCUACGGGAGGCAGCAGUGGGGAAUUUUGGACAAUGGCGCAAGCCUGAUCCAGCCAUGCCGCGUGCGGGAAG